CAGUUGUCGAGCUCUAACCCCAUGUUCAUGUACGUAUACUAGGGUACUGCCAUGUUAAAGUAUGGGUAAAUAUCGAGCUCGACAACUGGCCUCUGUAGCUCAGUUGGUUAGAGCGCUGCACGGGAAGCACAGGGGCACAGGUUCGAUUCCUGCCAUGCAGAGGCUUGGGACCAUAGAUAUACAUGGGAUCAUAGAUAUGCAUGGGACCACAGUGAGAUAGCAAACAUCGUCAUCUGUUCGGUUUCAUUUUUUAAAAUAUUUAUCACAUAGCUCAAGUGUUUUUAUAAUAUCAAUGUCAAUAUCAUUGUCAAAAUCAAUUCGUAUUUCAAAGAAGGUAAUAAAGUUAGAGGAAACAAACACUAUAGUUUUCGUUCUUUUAAUUUCUACGACAAUCAUCUACAGUUAAAAUAAUUUUCUUUUUCAUUAGAUGAAAUAAUUCCCUACUUAUCACAUGCCUACUACUUUAUUAAUUGAAGAGCUUUAGAUAUCUCUACCAAGAUCGCUACAUUAUUAUAUUGCAAAAAGAAAGCUCCUGUAAGACUAUACAUGUCCAUAUACUUGAUAAGCGUCCAAUUUCAUCAUCACAGCCAGUAAAAAAUGUACGUGACACCAAAUUUCUAUUUCUACACCGAAUUUUAAUCAGUUCUAUUUCUAAACUUGGGUUUUUCAACUACAAAGAUUUGUUUCAAUUCAUAAUUUUCCUGUUAAACCUGAUUCAGACAUAUUGUUCUAUUCCUGAGCGAUUACACUUAUUCGUAUGCGUCAACAACAGAAAAUCCGACAAAAUUGCUAGACAGUGUGACACACAUUCAAUCAAAUCAGUUUUGGACUAACUAUUUGAUUUAUAACACGUUUAACUACCCUGGAGAGACUACAAUUCUUGUGAUUUCUAAGAAGGCAUCACUAUUGGAAAAACCCUGGAUAAAUUAGGAAACAUUGCAGAAAUAUUUUAAAAAUCCGAUAUUUCCUCAAGUGAUUUGCCAAACAGUAGAAAUGCCUUUUUCUUUUUAGGAAGAAAAAACGUUUCCCGACAAAUUUAGAAGUACAUUUUGUUUUCCUAUAUGUCUAGUUUGUUCAAUUCCGUUCCAGAAAGACACUCAGAAGUCUCCUAAUUAAUAUAUCCAAUGUUUCCUAGCAAAAAUGUUUUCUGCAAAGACGUCAUUAUUAAUUAUUUUAAAUGAAUAUCACAUCUUUCCGAAAAAUGGGAGAUUUAAAACGAUGCAGAGUUUUUGCGAAACCUUCAGAACUUAUUGAUCAAUUUAUGACAAUUUUUGGAAUAAUCCGUAUAAAGAAUGAAAUGUAGUAAUUCUAGCUAUGACAAUGUAUUUCUAUAUUACUGUGCGUAUUUGUUCCAUUGUGGUAUAUUUGGUUUAUACCAACGAACGGGCAUACGCAAGGUUGUUGCAAGGCCACUGUUGUGCAUCUGUAAAGAAACACGAUGGUAAUAUUCAACAAGACUUUGAAUUGUUGGAUGAUUAGUAAAACCUUCUGCAAAUCCAAAUCCUUCGGGACUUUCUUCAAUGCAAAAAUGCUUGAUUGUCUGAUCAAAC
This 1550-nucleotide transfer RNA is filed under the name Paramuricea clavata. Lineage: Eukaryota; Metazoa; Cnidaria; Anthozoa; Malacalcyonacea; Plexauridae. The record is from RNAcentral.